GACGAACGCUGGCGGCGUGCUUAACACAUGCAAGUCGAACGGUGAAGCUCCAGCUUGCUGGAGUGGAUCAGUGGCGAACGGGUGAGUAACACGUGAGCAACCUGCCCCUGACUCUGGAAUAAGCGCUGGAAACGGCGUCUAAUACUGGAUACGAGAAGGGUCCGCAUGGGCACUUUCUGGAAAGUUUUUCGGUUGGGGAUGGGCUCGCGGCCUAUCAGCUUGUUGGUGAGGUAAUGGCUCACCAAGGCGACGACGGGUAGCCGGCCUGAGAGGGCGACCGGCCACACUGGGACUGAGACACGGCCCAGACUCCUACGGGAGGCAGCAGUGGGGAAUAUUGCACAAUGGGCGAAAGCCUGAUGCAGCGACGCCGCGUGAGGGAUGACGGCCUUCGGGUUGUAAACCUCUUUCAGCAGGGAAGAAGCGAAAGUGACGGUACCUGCAGAAGAAGCACCAGCUAACUACGUG
RNAcentral lists this ribosomal RNA (468 nucleotides) under uncultured bacterium. Its description in RNAcentral is "partial 16S ribosomal RNA". It matches the Rfam family "Bacterial small subunit ribosomal RNA", at positions 28 to 507 of the family's 1533-position model. The record is from RNAcentral.